GAUCAAGUGAAAGAAGGGCAUUUGGUGGAUGCCUUGGCAUGCACAGGCGAUGAAGGACGUGAUACGCUGCGAAAAGCCGUGGGGAGCUGCGAAUGAGCUUUGAUCCAUGGAUCUCCGAAUGGGGCAACCCACCUUAGAUGCUUGGAAAAUCAUUUUGGUUGGCAUCUGGUCCCGAAGCCGUAAGGCUUCGCAAGGCCAGAGGCCGUCGCCGGUUAUCCGGCGUCAAGAAACCAAAGUGGUUUCCAAGCAUUGUUGAAAGGUAUCUUAUUCUGAAUACAUAGGGAUAAGAAGCGAACGCAGGGAACUGAAACAUCUAAGUACCUGCAGGAAAGGACAUCAACCGAGACUCCGCAAGUAGUGGCGAGCGAACGCGGACCAGGCCAGUGGCAAUGAGGAAUAAAGUGGAACGAUCUGGAAAGUUCGGCCGUAGCGGGUGACAGCCCCGUACACGUAGAACACUCAUUGUCCUUGAGUAAGGCGGGACACGUGAAAUCCUGUCUGAACAUGGGGAGACCACUCUCCAAGCCUAAGUACUCGUGCAUGACCGAUAGCGAACAAGUACCGUGAGGGAAAGGUGAAAAGCACCCCGACAAGGGGAGUGAAAUAGAACCUGAAACCGGAUGCCUACAAACAGUCGGAGCCCGCAAGGGUGACGGCGUACCUUUUGUAUAAUGGGUCAACGACUUAGUGUGGCAUGCAAGCUUAAGCCGGUAGGUGGAGGCGUAGCGAAAGCGAGUCUGAACAGGGCGCUUUAGUAUGUCGCAUUAGACCCGAAACCGAGUGAUCUAGCCAUGAGCAGGUUGAAGGUUGGGUAACACCAACUGGAGGACCGAACCCGCAUCUGUUGCAAUAGAUUGGGAUGACUUGUGGCUAGGGGUGAAAGGCCAAUCAAACUCGGAAAUAGCUGGUUCUCCGCGAAAACUAUUUAGGUAGUGCGUCGACCGAAUACCCUCGGGGGUAGAGCACUGGAUGGGCUAUGGGGACUCACCGUCUUACUGAUCCUAACCAAACUCCGAAUACCGAGGAGUACUAGUCGGCAGAC
RNAcentral lists this ribosomal RNA (1042 nucleotides) under Ensifer meliloti. Its description in RNAcentral is "Sinorhizobium meliloti partial 23S ribosomal RNA". It matches the Rfam family "Bacterial large subunit ribosomal RNA", at positions 1 to 985 of the family's 2925-position model. Lineage: Bacteria; Pseudomonadati; Pseudomonadota; Alphaproteobacteria; Hyphomicrobiales; Rhizobiaceae. The record is from RNAcentral.